AGAGUUUGGAUCCGUGGCUCAGGACGAACGCUGGCGGCGUGCUUAACACAUGCAAGUCGAACGGAAAGGCCCUGCGUUUUGUGGGGUGGCGUCGAGUGGCGAACGGGUGAGUAACACGUGAGUAACCUGCCCUUGACUUUGGGGAUAACUUCAGGAAACUGGGGCGUAAUACCGGAUAGGAGCUCCUGCUGCAUGGUGGGGGUUGGAAAGUUUCGGCGGUUGGGGAUGGACUCGCGGCUUAUCAGCUUGUUGGUGGGGGUAGUGGCUUACCAAGGCUUUGACGGGUAGCCGGCCUGAGAGGGUGACCGGCCACAUUGGGCCUGAGAUACGGCCCAGACUCCUACGGGAGGCAGCAGUGGGGAAUAUUGCACAAUGGGCGGAAGCCUGAUGCAGCAACGCCGCGUGCGGGAUGACGGCCUUCGGGUUGUAAACCGCUUUCGCCUGUGACGAAGCGUGAGUGACGGUAAUGGGUAAAGAAGCACCGGCUAACUACGUG
Molecule: ribosomal RNA, 496 nt
Filed under: uncultured Propionibacterium sp.
Lineage: Bacteria; Bacillati; Actinomycetota; Actinomycetes; Propionibacteriales; Propionibacteriaceae
Description: bacterial SSU rRNA
Rfam family: Bacterial small subunit ribosomal RNA
Source: RNAcentral